CCGCCGAUAGCUCAACGGUCAGAGCAGGCGACUCAUAAUCGCUUGGUUGCAGGUUCGAAUCCUGCUCGGCGGA
RNAcentral lists this transfer RNA (73 nucleotides) under Tepidisphaera mucosa. Its description in RNAcentral is "tRNA-Ile". It matches the Rfam family "tRNA". From Rfam's summary of the family: Transfer RNA (tRNA) molecules are approximately 80 nucleotides in length. Their secondary structure includes four short double-helical elements and three loops (D, anti-codon, and T loops). RNAcentral also lists the same sequence under 3 other names. The record is from RNAcentral. Lineage: Bacteria; Pseudomonadati; Planctomycetota; Phycisphaerae; Tepidisphaerales; Tepidisphaeraceae.